AUCCUGGCUCAGGACGAACGCUGGCGGCGUGCUUAACACAUGCAAGUCGAACGGAAAGGCCCUUCGGGGUGCUCGAGUGGCGAACGGGUGAGUAACACGUGGGUGAUCUGCCCUGCACUUUGGGAUAAGCCUGGGAAACUGGGUCUAAUACCGAAUAUGACCGCAUGCUUCAUGGUGUGUGGUGGAAAGCUUUUGCGGUGUGGGAUGGGCCCGCGGCCUAUCAGCUUGUUGGUGGGGUAAUGGCCUACCAAGGCGACGACGGGUAGCCGGCCUGAGAGGGUGACCGGCCACACUGGGACUGAGAUACGGCCCAGACUCCUACGGGAGGCAGCAGUGGGGAAUAUUGCACAAUGGGCGCAAGCCUGAUGCAGCGACGCCGCGUGGGGGAUGACGGCCUUCGGGUUGUA
RNAcentral lists this ribosomal RNA (407 nucleotides) under Mycobacterium sp. 5BR6. Its description in RNAcentral is "bacterial SSU rRNA". It matches the Rfam family "Bacterial small subunit ribosomal RNA", at positions 16 to 427 of the family's 1533-position model. Lineage: Bacteria; Bacillati; Actinomycetota; Actinomycetes; Mycobacteriales; Mycobacteriaceae. The record is from RNAcentral.